Molecule: non-coding RNA, 83 nt
Organism: Ixodes scapularis (black-legged tick)
Lineage: Eukaryota; Metazoa; Arthropoda; Arachnida; Ixodida; Ixodidae
Source: Rfam
GCAGUCGUGGCCAAAGGGGUUAAGGUGAUGGACUAGGAAUCCAUUGGGGUCUCCCCGCACAGGUUCGACCGCUGUCGACUGCG